This 253-nucleotide ribosomal RNA is filed under the name uncultured bacterium. RNAcentral describes it as "partial 16S ribosomal RNA". It matches the Rfam family "Bacterial small subunit ribosomal RNA", at positions 524 to 776 of the family's 1533-position model. The record is from RNAcentral.
UACGUAGGGGGCUAGCGUUGUCCGGAAUCAUUGGGCGUAAAGAGCGUGUAGGCGGUCCGGUAAGUCCGCUGUGAAAGUCGGGGGCUCAACCCUCGAAUGCCGGUGGAUACUGUCGGGCUAGAGUGCGGAAGAGGCGAGUGGAAUUCCUGGUGUAGCGGUGAAAUGCGCAGAUAUCAGGAGGAACACCGGUGGCGAAGGCGGUUCUCUGGGCCGAUACUGACGCUGAGGAGCGAAAGCGUGGGGAGCAAACAGG